AGUUUUUGGUGAUGACGACUAGAAGCGGACAACUUGUGUCCACCACUACUAUGAGUGCAUUCUUCUCCAAGUCCCGACCUUUCUUGUUCCCCGAGCCAUUUGGAUUUUUUUUUUUUUUUGUUAAAAGGCCUUCUUCCAUUUGGAAAAUUGACAUUACUAGUUGACAUAAUCUCUCGCUAAAAAAAAA
This 187-nucleotide small RNA is filed under the name Arabidopsis thaliana (thale cress). Its description in RNAcentral is "ATSL281150". The record is from RNAcentral. Lineage: Eukaryota; Viridiplantae; Streptophyta; Magnoliopsida; Brassicales; Brassicaceae.